This 5263-nucleotide long non-coding RNA is filed under the name Sus scrofa (pig). RNAcentral describes it as "lncRNA (ENSSSCG00040063552.1)". Lineage: Eukaryota; Metazoa; Chordata; Mammalia; Artiodactyla; Suidae. The record is from RNAcentral.
UUUCUUUUUUUUCUUUUUCUUUUUUUUUCUUUUUGCCUUUUCUAUGGCCACACCCACGGCAUAUGGAGGUUCCCAGACUAGGGAUCUAAUGGAGGUUCCCAGCCUAUGCCAGCGCCACAGCAAUGCCAGAUCCGAACCGCAUCUGUGACCUACACCACAGCUCAUGGCAACGCUGGAUCCUUAACCCACUGAGCAAGGCCAAGGAUCAAACCUGCAACUCCAUCGUUCCUAGUCAGAUUUGUUAACCACUGAGCCACAAGGGGAACUCUGAAAGGGAUUUUCUUAUCAAGGUCACAUCCCUUUAAAUAUCCUUAUCAAUCCCAUUUUAUCUUACUACUACAGCAAGUAACAGUCAACUGUCUUUUUUAGUGAUAGUUUUGUACACUGAAGGUAAUUCUUAGGGUAUAGCUUAAGGAAGAUGCAGGUCAACAGUUGAUUACUAAAAGAAAAAAAUAUAUAGUAUUUUUUGGUAUUUUUCUUGUUCAUUAGUCCUUCAACUAAUGUUUAUUUGGUGACCCUAUUGUGCCUACAUCUGUAUUACAUACAAAGGAUAUGCUAAAAGGGGAAAAUAGACAUGAUUGCUGUUUGCUUGUGGUUAUAGACUGGGUUGUAUGGGAGGAAGUAUAUGCAGAAAAUAACAUUGUAAUAAAAGCCACAAGAUGGAGCAAUGCUGAUCAUAUAACUAUUAGGCAAGGAAACAAAAAACGUUUCUUUUUACUAUUCUUGUUGAAAUAUAGUUGAUAUACAAUAUUAUAUUAGUUUCAUGUACACUAAGUAAUGAUUUUAUAUUUACAUACAUUAUUCAAUAAUCACCAUGGUAAGUCUAGCAACCAUCUGUCCCCAUAUGAAUUUUAGCAAUACUAUUGACCAUAUUAUUUAUGCUGUAUAUUAUAUCCCCAUAGCUUAUAUAUUUUAAAACUAGAGAUUUAUACCUCUUAAUCCUCUUUAUCUAUGUCAUCCUCCAAUACCCCUCCUUCUGGUCACCACUCAUUUGCCCUAUCAAUGAGUCUAUUUCUGUUUUGUGUGUCUUGAUCUUUAGAUUAUAAAUACAAAUGAGAACAUAUUUCUCUUUGUCUGACUUUUUACAUUUUAUUUGUUUUUAUUGAGAGUAGGGUUGAUUUAUACAAUUUUAUUAAUUUCAGCUGUAAAGCAUGGUAAUUCAGUGUUUUUACAGAUUAUACUCUUUGAAAGUAUUAUAGGAUAAUGGGUAUAAAUACCUGUACUAUACAGUACCUCAUUUUGCUUAUCUAUUUUAUACAUAAUAGUUCAUCUCUUAAUCCCAUACUCCUAGUUUGCCUUUUCACCCUUACUUCUCCUCUUUAGUAACCACUAGUUUGUGUUCUAUAUCCAUUAGACUGUUUCUGUUUUGCAUGUAUAUUUGUUUAUAUUACUUUUUAGAUUCCACUUAUGAGAUAUCGAAUAUGUUUUUCUUUCUCUGUCUUAUUUCACUAAGUAUAAUAUUCUCUAGGUCCAUCCAUGUUGCUACAAAUGGAAGAAUUUUAUUGUUUUUUAUGGAUAAGUAAUAUUUCAUUGUGUAUAUAUCACACCUUCUUUAUCCAUUCGCCUAUUGAUAGGCACUUAGGUUGCUCCCAUUUCUUGGCUAUUGCAAAUUGUGCUUCUAUGAACAUUGGGGUACAUGUAUCUUUUCAAAUUAAUGUUUUUAUUUCAUCCAGAUAUUUACCCAGGAGUUGAAUUACUGAUUCAUAUGGUAGUUCUAUUUUUAGUUUUUGAGGAGAUUCCAUUCUGUUCUCUGUAAUUGCCUAAUCAAUUUACAUUUCCUCUGACAGCGUACAAAAAUUCCCUUUUCUACAUAUCCUCUUCAAUAUUUAUUGUUUGUAGAUAUUUUGAUGAUAGUCAUUCUAAACAGUGUAAAGUGAUGUCUAGUUGUUUAUAUUUGCAUUUAUCUAGUAAUUAGUGCUGGUGAACAUCUUUUCACAUGCCUGUUAGCCAUCUCUAUGUCUUCUUUAGAAAAACCUCUGUUUAGGUCUUAUGCCCAUUCUUGAUUAAGUGUUUCUGUUUUGAUAUUGAGCUGUGUGAGCUGUUUAUAUAUUUUGGGUAUUAAUCUAUUGUCAGUCACAUUAUUUAUAAACAUUUUUUCCCAUUCCAUAAGUUGUCUUUCUGUUCUUUUGAUGGUUUCCUUUGCUGUGCAAAAGCCUGCAAGUUUAAUUAGGUCCCAUUUUUUAAUUUUUGCUUUAACUUGUUUUGCCUUAGGAUACAGAUCCAAAAAGUGUAUUGCUGCAACUUAUAUCAAAGAGUUUCUGUCUAUGUCCUCUUCUAAGUGUCUUAGGAUUGCAGGUAUUACAUUUAGGUCAAUCCAUUUUGAAUUUAUUUUUGUACAUAGUGUUAGAAAAUACUUUGACUCAUGGUUUUACAUGUGGCUGUCCAGUAUUCCUAGCACCACUUGUUGAAGUGUAUUUUUUCCAUUGUAUAUUCUUGCUUCCUUUGUCAAAGGGUAAUUGAUCAUAGGAGUUUGGAUUUAUUUCUGGGGUUUUUAUUCUGUUCCAUUGCUCUUUGUGUCUGUUUUUGUGCCAGUGUUAUGCUGUUUUGAUUUCUGUCAGUUUCUAGUAUAGUCUGAGGCCUGGGAACAUGAUGCUUCUAGCUUUGUUCUUUUUUUUCUGAAUAUUUCUUUGACAAUUCAGGGUGUAUUGUAUAUAUGACUUUUAGGAUUAUUUGUUCUAGUUCUGUGGAAAAUGGAAUGGAUAUUUUGAUAAAUUGCAUUAAAUCUAUAGAUUGCUUUGUGCAGUUUGCCAUUUUAACAGUAUUCUUCCAGUUUUAGAGCAUAUCUUUCAAUUUCUUUGUAUUCAAUUUCCUUCACUAAUGUUUUAUGGCUUUUAGAAUAUAGGGCUUUUACUUAUUUAAAUUUAUUCUUAGAUAUUUUAUUCUUUUUAUGUGAUUUUUAAAAUGGGAUUUUUUUUUACUUUCUCUUUCUGGUGGUUUCAUCAUGGUGUAUAGAAGAGCAACAGAUUUUGCUAUAUUAAUCUCAUGUUCUGAAAUUUUACUGAAUUAAUUUAUUCUAAUAGUUUUGGGGUGGAGACUUUAGAGUUUUAUAUGUAAAGUACCAUGUCUGCAAGUAAUGACAGUCAUCUUCUCUUCCAAUCUGGAUGACUUUUAUUCUUUUUUGUGUGAUUGCUAUGGCUACAACAGUAUUAUGACUUCUAAUACUGUUAUAUAGAAAUGGGAAGAGUGAACAUCUUUGUCUUAAUCCUGAAGUUGAAAGAAAUGAUUUCAGCUUUUCACUGUUUAGUAUAGUGUUAGCUGUGGGUUUGUCAUAAACGGCCUGUACAAUGUUAAAAUACUUUCCUCUAUAUCCACUUUGAUGAAGAUUUUUAUCAUAAAUGAAUGUUGAAUUUUUUUUUCAAAUAUUUCAUUCUGUCUCUAAUGAAAUAAUCAAUGAAUAUGUGAUCUAUGUUUAUCCAAAGAUCAGGUUGCCUCUGUUAAUACAAGCCUGAGUCUUUUCCCUGAUCAUAGUUGCCCGUGAUCCAGUGCUGCACCGUGGCACGGAGUGAGCAAGCAUUGUAGAAUUUGCUUGACUCUGGCUGGGCUGCAAGGUAGUCAUGGGAAACUUGGCACCUCCUAGGGAAGCCCUGCCUCAGGGGUAAGUCCCCUUAGUCUCAUAAUUGAUAAUUUUUCCCAGAUUGUGAUGUUCCUGCCCUGUCGUGGAACUGCUCUAUAGGGUAGGAAUGGAAGCCUGUGUGGUCUCUCUGUGAGUAUUGGGGAUGAGCUGUGGUAGCAUGGCCACUGUCAGAAUUCUGGUCAGCUUCUGAGGUGCCAUUUGGUUCAGUGCCAACAAUAACCACUGCUGCCCCACCCGAGCGCUGUCAUGAGACUGGAUCUCUUCUGUGUCCUACACUCGAGGCUUUUCCCCUGUCCUGAUUACCUCAAGUAAAGUGUCCUGCUGUGGUGUGGAAUGAAUGGAGCCAGAGCAUUUUCCAGGCUAUGGCUGAGGUAUGUGAAAUGGUACAGGAAACCUAGAGGCUAUCAGAGUAGAUCUUUCCUUGCCCUGCCUUGGGAGUAGUCAGCAUGUGCACUUCACAGGAGUGGAGCCCAGGCUUCAUUCAGCCCUUUUAUUUGUAACAGUCGUCCUCCAACCAGCCAAAAGGGCUUUUCUCCUUCAUAUAGAACCAUAGGACUGGGACACACGGCAGAUGUCCACAUUUAAAAAUCUCCCUUUCUCUUUGAGUCCCCUCCCAGGGACACAGAUUCUGACCUGAUCACUUUUCAUCCCUUCCUACCUGGUUAUGUGAGUAUCUUUCUUAUAGCAUGGGCUAUACAUGAGUCGUUCUACCAGUUUCCAGUUAGUUAUAAGUGAUAACUGUUCCACAUGGAGAUAUAUUUUUCAUGUGCUCAAGGAGGGAAAAACAGCUCCACCCUUUUAUUCUGCCAUCUUGAUCGAUCCCCUGUCUCACUUGGUUCACUUAGCAUAAUAUGACCUAGAUCCAUGCAUGCUGUUGUAACUUACAUAAAUUCAUUGCAGUUUGUAUGGCUGAGUAAUAUUCCAUUGUGUGUAUAUGUAUUUAUAUAUCAUUGUAUAUCUGUAACACACAUUUUUAUUCAUCUUUUGAUGAACAAUUAGGUUACUUCCAUAUGUUGACACUUGUAAAUAGUAUGGCAGUAAAAAUGGGGGUGCAUAUUAUCAUUUUGAAUUAAAGUUUUUUUUCUUCAGGUAAAUACUCAGAAGUGAGGUUCCUAGAUCAUAUGGCAGUUAUAUUUUUAAUUUUUUGAGAAAUUUCCAUAGUAUUUUCCUUAUAGUAUUUGCCUAUUUAUAUUCCCACCAAUAGUGCACGAGUUUUCCCUUUUCUCCAUAUCCUUGGCAAUGCUUCUUAUUGUCUUUUUGAUGAUAGCCAUUUUGACAGGUGUGGGAGAGUAUCUCAUUGCGGUUUUGAUUUGCAUUUCCCUGAUAAUCAGUGAUAUUAAGCAUCUGUUCAUGUGUCUGUUGGACAUCUAUAUAUCUUUGGAACAGAGUCUAUUUUAAUGCCUGAAACCAUGAAACUCCUAGAAUAAAACAUAGGAAGUGUGCUCUUUGACAUCAGUCUUGUAAAUAUUUUCUUGGAUCUUUCUUCUAAGGCAAGAGAAAUAAAGGCAAAAACAAACAAAUGGCAUUGCAUCGAACUAAAAUGCUUUCAAAUGAGAAGGGACACCAUCAACAAAAUGAAAAGCCAGUCACUGAAUGAGAAGAGAUAUUUACAAGCCAUAUAUCCUAUAAAAGGUUUAUAUCUAAAAUAUACAAGGAACUCAUACAAUGUAACUUCAAAAAAAAAAAAAA